RNAcentral lists this unclassified non-coding RNA (253 nucleotides) under uncultured Flavobacteriaceae bacterium. Its description in RNAcentral is "contains 16S-23S intergenic spacer region". It matches the Rfam family "Bacterial small subunit ribosomal RNA", at positions 524 to 776 of the family's 1533-position model. The record is from RNAcentral. Lineage: Bacteria; Pseudomonadati; Bacteroidota; Flavobacteriia; Flavobacteriales; Flavobacteriaceae.
UACGGAGGAUCCAAGCGUUAUCCGGAAUUACAGGGUUUAAAGGGUCCGUAGGCGGGAUAAUAAGUCAGUGGUGAAAGUCUGCCGCUUAACGGUAGAACUGCCAUUGAUACUGUUGUCCUUGAGUAAUUAUGAAGUGGUUAGAAUAUGUAGUGUAGCGGUGAAAUGCAUAGAUAUUACAUAGAAUACCGAUUGCGAAGGCAGAUCACUAAUAAUUUACUGACGCUGAGGGACGAAAGCGUAGGUAGCGAACAGG